RNAcentral lists this ribosomal RNA (467 nucleotides) under uncultured bacterium. Its description in RNAcentral is "partial 16S ribosomal RNA". It matches the Rfam family "Bacterial small subunit ribosomal RNA", at positions 28 to 507 of the family's 1533-position model. The record is from RNAcentral.
GAUGAACGCUGGCGGCGCGCCUAACACAUGCAAGUCGAACGAUUAAAGCACCUUCGGGUGUGUAUAAAGUGGCGAACGGCUGAGUAACACGUGGGCAACCUGCCCCUUUCAUUGGGAUAGCCACGGGAAACCGUGGAUAAUACCGAAUACUUCGAGACUUCCGCAUGGAAGACUCGAGAAAGCUCCGGCGGAGAGGGAUGGGCCCGCGGCCUGUUAGCUUGUUGGGGGGGGAACGGCCUACCAAGGCAAUGAUGGGUAGCUGGGUUGAGAGACCGACCAGCCAGAUUGGGACUGAGACACGGCCCAGCCUCCUACGGGAGGCAGCAGUGGGGAAUCUUGCACAAUGGGCGAAAGCCUGAUGCAGCGACGCCGCGUGCGGGAUGAAGGCCUUCGGGUUGUAACCCGCUUUCAGCAGGGACGAGGCGAAAGUGACGGUACCUGCAGAAGAAGCCCCGGCUAACUACGUG